Molecule: ribosomal RNA, 1053 nt
Filed under: Bacillus amyloliquefaciens
Lineage: Bacteria; Bacillati; Bacillota; Bacilli; Caryophanales; Bacillaceae
Description: bacterial SSU rRNA
Rfam family: Bacterial small subunit ribosomal RNA
Source: RNAcentral
GGGGAAAGGGGAACUGCUCCUGAUGUUAGCGGCGGACGGGUGAGUAACACGUGGGUAACCUGCCUGUAAGACUGGGAUAACUCCGGGAAACCGGGGCUAAUACCGGAUGCUUGUUUGAACCGCAUGGUUCAGACAUAAAAGGUGGCUUCGGCUACCACUUACAGAUGGACCCGCGGCGCAUUAGCUAGUUGGUGAGGUAACGGCUCACCAAGGCGACGAUGCGUAGCCGACCUGAGAGGGUGAUCGGCCACACUGGGACUGAGACACGGCCCAGACUCCUACGGGAGGCAGCAGUAGGGAAUCUUCCGCAAUGGACGAAAGUCUGACGGAGCAACGCCGCGUGAGUGAUGAAGGUUUUCGGAUCGUAAAGCUCUGUUGUUAGGGAAGAACAAGUGCCGUUCAAAUAGGGCGGCACCUUGACGGUACCUAACCAGAAAGCCACGGCUAACUACGUGCCAGCAGCCGCGGUAAUACGUAGGUGGCAAGCGUUGUCCGGAAUUAUUGGGCGUAAAGGGCUCGCAGGCGGUUUCUUAAGUCUGAUGUGAAAGCCCCCGGCUCAACCGGGGAGGGUCAUUGGAAACUGGGGAACUUGAGUGCAGAAGAGGAGAGUGGAAUUCCACGUGUAGCGGUGAAAUGCGUAGAGAUGUGGAGGAACACCAGUGGCGAAGGCGACUCUCUGGUCUGUAACUGACGCUGAGGAGCGAAAGCGUGGGGAGCGAACAGGAUUAGAUACCCUGGUAGUCCACGCCGUAAACGAUGAGUGCUAAGUGUUAGGGGGUUUCCGCCCCUUAGUGCUGCAGCUAACGCAUUAAGCACUCCGCCUGGGGAGUACGGUCGCAAGACUGAAACUCAAAGGAAUUGACGGGGGCCCGCACAAGCGGUGGAGCAUGUGGUUUAAUUCGAAGCAACGCGAAGAACCUUACCAGGUCUUGACAUCCUCUGACAAUCCUAGAGAUAGGACGUCCCCUUCGGGGGCAGAGUGACAGGUGGUGCAUGGUUGUCGUCAGCUCGUGCCUUGAGAAGUUGGGUUAAGUCCCGCAACGAGCGCAACCC